This 839-nucleotide ribosomal RNA is filed under the name Leuconostoc citreum. RNAcentral's name for it is "bacterial SSU rRNA". It matches the Rfam family "Bacterial small subunit ribosomal RNA", at positions 50 to 871 of the family's 1533-position model. The record is from RNAcentral. Lineage: Bacteria; Bacillati; Bacillota; Bacilli; Lactobacillales; Lactobacillaceae.
UAUACAUGCAGUCGAACGCGCAGCGAGAGGUGCUUGCACCUUUCAAGCGAGUGGCGAACGGGUGAGUAACACGUGGAUAACCUGCCUCAAGGCUGGGGAUAACAUUUGGAAACAGAUGCUAAUACCGAAUAAAACUUAGUAUCGCAUGAUAUCAAGUUAAAAGGCGCUACGGCGUCACCUAGAGAUGGAUCCGCGGUGCAUUAGUUAGUUGGUGGGGUAAAGGCUUACCAAGACGAUGAUGCAUAGCCGAGUUGAGAGACUGAUCGGCCACAUUGGGACUGAGACACGGCCCAAACUCCUACGGGAGGCUGCAGUAGGGAAUCUUCCACAAUGGGCGCAAGCCUGAUGGAGCAACGCCGCGUGUGUGAUGAAGGCUUUCGGGUCGUAAAGCACUGUUGUAUGGGAAGAAAUGCUAAAAUAGGGAAUGAUUUUAGUUUGACGGUACCAUACCAGAAAGGGACGGCUAAAUACGUGCCAGCAGCCGCGGUAAUACGUAUGUCCCGAGCGUUAUCCGGAUUUAUUGGGCGUAAAGCGAGCGCAGACGGUUGAUUAAGUCUGAUGUGAAAGCCCGGAGCUCAACUCCGGAAUGGCAUUGGAAACUGGUUAACUUGAGUGUUGUAGAGGUAAGUGGAACUCCAUGUGUAGCGGUGGAAUGCGUAGAUAUAUGGAAGAACACCAGUGGCGAAGGCGGCUUACUGGACAACAACUGACGUUGAGGCUCGAAAGUGUGGGUAGCAAACAGGAUUAGAUACCCUGGUAGUCCACACCGUAAACGAUGAAUACUAGGUGUUAGGAGGUUUCCGCCUCUUAGUGCCGAAGCUAACGCAUUAAGUAUUNCG